UGGCGCGUGGUUAAGACAUGCAAGUCGAACGAGAGAAUUGCUAGCUUGCUAAUAAUUCUCUAGUGGCGCACGGGUGAGUAACACGUGAGUAACCUGCCCCCGAGAGCGGGAUAGCCCUGGGAAACUGGGAUUAAUACCGCAUAGUAUCGAAAGAUUAAAGCAGCAAUGCGCUUGGGGAUGGGCUCGCGGCCUAUUAGUUAGUUGGUGAGGUAACGGCUCACCAAGGCGAUGACGGGUAGCCGGUCUGAGAGGAUGUCCGGCCACACUGGAACUGAGACACGGUCCAGACACCUACGGGUGGCAGCAGUCGAGAAUCAUUCACAAUGGGGGAAACCCUGAUGGUGCGACGCCGCGUGGGGGAAUGAAGGUCUUCGGAUUGUAAACCCCUGUCAUGUGGGAGCAAAUUAAAAAGAUAGUACCACAAGAGGAAGAGACGGCUAACUCUGUGCCAGCAGCCGCGGUAAUACAGAGGUCUCAAGCGUUGUUCGGAAUCACUGGGCGUAAAGCGUGCGUAGGCUGUUUCGUAGGUCGUGUGUGAAAGGCGCGGGCUCAACCCGCGGACGGCACAUGAUACUGCGAGACUAGAGUAAUGGAGGGGGAACCGGAAUUCACGGUGUAGCA
This 621-nucleotide ribosomal RNA is filed under the name Akkermansia muciniphila. RNAcentral describes it as "bacterial SSU rRNA". It matches the Rfam family "Bacterial small subunit ribosomal RNA", at positions 37 to 680 of the family's 1533-position model. The record is from RNAcentral. Lineage: Bacteria; Pseudomonadati; Verrucomicrobiota; Verrucomicrobiia; Verrucomicrobiales; Akkermansiaceae.